RNAcentral lists this ribosomal RNA (253 nucleotides) under uncultured bacterium. Its description in RNAcentral is "partial 16S ribosomal RNA". It matches the Rfam family "Bacterial small subunit ribosomal RNA", at positions 524 to 776 of the family's 1533-position model. The record is from RNAcentral.
UACGUAGGGUGCGAGCGUUAAUCGGAAUUACUGGGCGUAAAGCGUGCGCAGGCGGUUUUGUAAGCCAGGUGUGAAAUCCCCGGGCUUAACCUGGGAAUGGCAUUUGGGACUGCAAGGCUGGAGUGCGGCAGAGGAGACUGGAAUUCCUGGUGUAGCAGUGAAAUGCGUAGAGAUGCGGAGGAACACCGAUGGCGAAGGCAGCCCCCUGGGCUAGCACUGACGCUCAGGCACGAAAGCGUGGGGAGCAAACAGG